UACAGAGGGGGCAAGCGUUAUUCGGAAUUAUUGGGCGUAAAGGGCGCGUAGGCGGCUUGGCAAGUGGAUGGUGAAAUCCCUCGGCUUAACCGGGGAACUGCGUCUGAUACUGGAUGGCUUGAGUUUGGGAGAGGGAUGCGGAAUUCCAGGUGUAGCGGUGAAAUGCGUAGAUAUCUGGAGGAACACCGGUGGCGAAGGCGGCAUCCUGGACCAACACUGACGCUGAGUGAGCGAAAGCCAGGGGAGCAAACGGG
RNAcentral lists this ribosomal RNA (254 nucleotides) under uncultured bacterium. RNAcentral's name for it is "partial 16S ribosomal RNA". It matches the Rfam family "Bacterial small subunit ribosomal RNA", at positions 524 to 776 of the family's 1533-position model. The record is from RNAcentral.